AAUUUGACAAAAGAAUAUAUCACCUUUGGCAUGACCAGCAUCCACAAUAGGUUUCCAUCCGUCAACUUGGUCUUUGGUCCAAAUACCAAGAGAAAAGCUGUACUUUUAGUAAAUGGAAACUACCGUUGCUUCAGCUAUAAGAAGUUCUGAAAGUUGAACGAUAUCAUCAAGCUUCAAACUUUGUAAGCUAACAACGAAGUUAGUGAAUAUAACUCUGUCCUUGUAGCCAUGAAAAGCACUUUAGAGAAAGCAUAGACAUGAUUAGCUUCCUAUAAAAUCAUUAAGCAACUUGGAAAGACCUCACCUAGACCUUGUUUAUCAUAUACAACUUAACUCAACUAAGGUUUUAUCAAAAAAAUUUGGAGUUGGCUAUAUG
RNAcentral lists this unclassified non-coding RNA (376 nucleotides) under Hevea brasiliensis (rubber tree). The record is from RNAcentral. Lineage: Eukaryota; Viridiplantae; Streptophyta; Magnoliopsida; Malpighiales; Euphorbiaceae.